RNAcentral lists this ribosomal RNA (395 nucleotides) under uncultured bacterium. RNAcentral's name for it is "partial 16S ribosomal RNA". It matches the Rfam family "Bacterial small subunit ribosomal RNA", at positions 338 to 730 of the family's 1533-position model. The record is from RNAcentral.
CCUACGGGUGGCAGCAGUGAGGAAUAUUGGUCAAUGGGCGCGAGCCUGAACCAGCCAAGUAGCGUGAAGGAUGACUGCCCUACGGGUUGUAAACUUCUUUUAUAAAGGAAUAAAGUGCUCCACGUGUGCCUUUUUGUAUGUACCUUAUGAAUAAGGAUCGGCUAACUCCGUGCCAGCAGCCGCGGUAAUACGGAGGGUCCGAGCGUUAUCCGGAUUUAUUGGGUUUAAAGGGAGCGUAGGUGGGUGGUUAAGUCAGUUGUGAAAGUUUGCGGCUCAACCGUAAAAUUGCAGUUGAUACUGGCAGUCUUGAGUACAGAAGAGGUAGGCGGAAUUCGUGGUGUAGCGGUGAAAUGCUUAGAUAUCACGAAGAACCCCGAUUGCGAAGGCAGCUUGCU